CGAACCGUCCAAACGUUAUUCGGAUUUAUUGGGCUUAAAGGGUAUGUAGGCGGCCCUUCAAGUCGGGUGUGAAAGCCCUCGGCUCAACCGAGGAACUGCGCCCGAUACUGUGGGGCUCGAGGGAGACAGAGGUAAGCGGAACUGAUGGUGGAGCGGUGAAAUGCGUUGAUACCAUCAGGAACACCAGUGGCGAAAGCGGCUUACUGGGUCUCUUCUGACGCUGAGAUACGAAAGCUAGGGGAGCGAACGGGAUUAGAUACCCCGGUAGUCCUAGCUGUAAACGAUGAGCACUUGAUCGAGGGGCCCCCCAUAGCCUCUCGGUCGUAGCGAAAGUGAUAAGUGCUCCGCCUGGGGAGUAUGGUCGCAAGGCUG
RNAcentral lists this ribosomal RNA (372 nucleotides) under uncultured organism. RNAcentral's name for it is "bacterial SSU rRNA". It matches the Rfam family "Bacterial small subunit ribosomal RNA", at positions 526 to 896 of the family's 1533-position model. The record is from RNAcentral.